AGAGAGGUGGCCGAGUGGUCGAAGGCGCACGCCUGGAAAGUGUGUAUGCUCCAAAAGGGCAUCGAGGGUUCGAAUCCCUUCCUCUCUGCUA
This 91-nucleotide transfer RNA is filed under the name Flavobacterium caeni. RNAcentral's name for it is "tRNA_Ser_GGA". It matches the Rfam family "tRNA". From Rfam's summary of the family: Transfer RNA (tRNA) molecules are approximately 80 nucleotides in length. RNAcentral also lists the same sequence under 3 other names. The record is from RNAcentral. Lineage: Bacteria; Pseudomonadati; Bacteroidota; Flavobacteriia; Flavobacteriales; Flavobacteriaceae.